AGAGUUUGAUCCUGGCUCAGGAUGAACGCUGGCGGCGUGUCUAAGGCAUGCAAGUCGAAUGGGUUUAGACCCAUAGCAAACGGGUGAGUAACACAUUGGUAACCUACCUCGAAGUUCAGAAUAACUCCGCGAAAGUGGAGAUAAUACUGGAUGUGCUCAUAUUUCGAAUGAAAUAUGCGUAAAGAUUUAUCGCUUCGAGAGGGGUCUAUGGUCUAUCAGCUAGUUGGUGAGGUAAAAGCUCACCAAGGCUACGACGGAUAGCGGGCGUGAGAGCGCGACCCGCCUCACUGGGACUGAGAUACUGCCCAGACUCCUACGGGAGGCUGCAGUCAAGAAUUUUCCGCAAUGGCCGAAAGGCUGACGGAGCGACGCCGCGUGGAGGACGAAGCCCUUCGGGGUGUAAACUUCUUUUCUCAGGGAAGAACACAUGACGGUACCUGAGGAAUAAGGGGCUGCUAACUUCGUGCCAGCAGCAGCGGUAAUACGAAGGCCCCAAGCGUUAUCCGGAUUUAUUGGGCGUAAAGCGUCUGUAGGUGGUCUGAUAAGUUCCUCGUCAAAUACUGAUGCUCAACAUCAGCACUGCGCGGAAUACUAUUAGACUAGAGGUUGGGAGAGGUAGAUGGAAUUGCCGGUGUAGCGGUAAAAUGCGUUAAUAUCGGCAAGAACACCAAAUGCGAAAGCUUUCUACUGGAACACACCUGACACUGAGAGACGAAAGCGUGGGGAGCGAAUGGGAUUAGAUACCCCAGUAGUCCACGCCGUAAACGAUGAAUGCUUGACAUUGGCAGUUUCGACCCUGCCAGUGUCGCUUAACCAAGUUAACACCUUAAGCAUUCCGCCUGGGUAGUACGAGCGCAAGCUUAAAACUCAAAGGAAUUGACGGGGACCCGCACAAGCGGUGGAGCAUGUGGUUUAAUUCGACAAUAAGCGUGGAACCUUACCAAGGCUCGACAUGAUACUGCAAAUCUCCGGAAACGGAGACUCCUUCGAGGGUGUAUCACAGGUGCUGCAUGGUUGUCGUCAGCUCGUGUCGUGAGAUGUACCGUUAAGUCGGGUAACGAGCGCAACCCCUAUGCUGUGUUAAAUGUUCACAGCAAACUGCCUGUUUAUCACAGGAGGAAGGCGGGGAUGACGUCAAAUCAGCAUGGCUCUUACGCCUUGGGCUACACACGUGCUACAAUGGCUAGAACAAUGGGACGCCAAGUCGAAAAACGGAGCUAAUCCUCUAAAUUUAGCCUCAGUUCGGAUUGAGGUCUGCAACCCGACCUCAUGAAGUCGGAAUCGCUAGUAAACGCUUAUCAGCCAUGGAGCGUUGAAUACGUUCUCGGGUCUUGUACACACCGCCCGUCACGUCAAGGGAGUCUGUAGUACCCAAAUGUCCUCGUAGGAGGGCAAAAGGUAAGAUAGGCAACAGGGACGAAGUCGUAACAAGGCA
Molecule: ribosomal RNA, 1435 nt
Filed under: metagenome
Description: bacterial SSU rRNA
Rfam family: Bacterial small subunit ribosomal RNA
Source: RNAcentral